AGAGUUUGAUCAUGGCUCAGAUUGAACGCUGGCGGCAGGCUUAACACAUGCAAGUCGAACGGUAACAGGAAGAAAGCUUGCUUUCUUUGCUGACGAGUGGCGGACGGGUGAGUAAUGCUUGGGAAUCUGGCUUAUGGAGGGGGAUAACUACGGGAAACUGUAGCUAAUACCGCAUAAUAUCGAGAGAUUAAAGGGUGGGACCGCAAGGCCACCUGCCAUGAGAUGAGCCCAAGUGGGAUUAGGUAGUUGGUGAGGUAAGGGCUCACCAAGCCGACGAUCUCUAGCUGGUCUGAGAGGAUGACCAGCCACACUGGAACUGAGACACGGUCCAGACUCCUACGGGAGGCAGCAGUGGGGAAUAUUGCACAAUGGGGGGAACCCUGAUGCAGCCAUGCCGCGUGAAUGAAGAAGGCCUUCGGGUUGUAAAGUUCUUUCGGUAGCGAGGAAGGCAUUUAGUUUAAUAGACUAGGUGAUUGACGUUAACUACAGAAGAAGCACCGGCUAACUCCGUGCCAGCAGCCGCGGUAAUACGGGGGGUGCGAGCGUUAAUCGGAAUAACUGGGCGUAAAGGGCACGCAGGCGGUGACUUAAGUGAGAUGUGAAAGCCCCGGGCUUAACCUGGGAAUUGCAUUUCAUACUGGGUCGCUAGAGUACUUUAGGGAGGGGUAGAAUUCCACGUGUAGCGGUGAAAUGCGUAGAGAUGUGGAGGAAUACCGAAGGCGAAGGCAGCCCCUUGGGAAUGUACUGACGCUCAUGUGCGAAAGCGUGGGGAGCAAACGGGAUUAGAUACCCCGGUAGUCCAA
RNAcentral lists this ribosomal RNA (803 nucleotides) under uncultured bacterium. RNAcentral's name for it is "bacterial SSU rRNA". It matches the Rfam family "Bacterial small subunit ribosomal RNA", at positions 8 to 798 of the family's 1533-position model. The record is from RNAcentral.